This 322-nucleotide ribosomal RNA is filed under the name uncultured eukaryote. RNAcentral describes it as "partial 18S ribosomal RNA". It matches the Rfam family "Eukaryotic small subunit ribosomal RNA", at positions 1470 to 1796 of the family's 1831-position model. The record is from RNAcentral.
CCCUUAGAUGUUCUGGGCCGCACGCGUGCUACACUGAGUGGAUCAGCGGGUCAGGUUGCGCGAAAGUGUUUCCUAAUCUUGAAAUCCGCUCGUGAUGGGGAUUGACGGUUGCAAUUUUCCGUCAUGAACGAGGAAUACCUUGUAAGCGCGGGUCAUCAUCCCGCGCUGAAUACGUCCCUGCCCUUUGUACACACCGCCCGUCGCUCCUACCGAUUGAGUGGUCCGGUGAGGCUUUGGGAUCUGAGCAAAGAGAGCGUUUCGCUCGUUUUGCCCGGAAAACUCAGUCGAACCUUAUCAUUUAGAGGAAGGAGAGGUCGUAACA